CGCUUGCACAGGUAGAGAUUGCCCCAUGCAGAUGAGCCAUGUAGGGGGCUCGGGCCCUAGGGACCCAGCCUCUGGGCCAGGGGUUGGCCUGCCCAGGCCUGCUGGUGUCUCAGCUGGUGGCCGAGAGCCAUAAGGCAGGCAUUGUCCUCCACAAGGUCAGCUUUGCCGCUAACUUCCUGUUCUCGUUAAUAACCUGAUGCAAGGAAUUCUAUUGCAAUUGUUUAUGUGUCUCUCCGAGAAGGCUGUGAGCAACACAGUAUCCCGAGCUCCUGGUCUGAUGCCUGACACACAGUAGGUGUUUAAUAAAUGAUUCUUCAGUGCAUAAGUGAAAGAAAACAUGGGUGAAGUUAGCAUGGUCAGGACCAUUGCAACUGCCUUCUGACUGGUCUCCUUGCUUCUCCUUAGUCUCCAGGCAGCAGUUGGAGUGAUACAGUAAUGGGAAUCACCACACUCUUCCUUCUCUGGCCAGGUGCAGCCCCAGACUGGUGCUUCCAGGGAGCCCUUGAUGCCUUGGUGAGGGGUGUGGGCUUGGAAGCUGGGCACUUACAGCUGUGGGUUGUUGCCACUGUUGGAGUAGCGGAGGCAUCGAGCCCCCUCCCGAUUUUCCAGCAUGACUAGUGGUGACAAUAUUGGGUCUCAAUGGGUCUCUCCUGCCUCCAGUCCAGUGCCCUUUUUUGGGGACCAUUAUUGGCUUUUGGGGACCCUGAAGGAGGAAUGGCCUGAUUAUGCAAUUUGGCUGGAGUGGAACGUCCCCAUGACGACAUGGCAAUGAGUCUUCCCCAGCAGGCAGAUGCCAGAUGCAGUGGUGACCACACCUGCCAUCUGGGAGGAUUCCAGGCAGACUCUCACUCUGCUGCCCAGGCUAGAGUGCAGUGGUGUGAUUAUAGCUCACUGCAGCUUCAAACCCCUGGGCUUAAAUGAUCCUCCUACCUCAGCAACCCAAGAAGCUGGGACAACAGGUGCACCCCCAGCCCAGGCGACAUCAACGGCCAGCCCCAUACGCGUGAGGAGGGAUUGCGGCACCAGGGGCGCUCAGGAUUGGGCCGGGCUGCUUCUCAGAAGAGGGGACAUUGAGCCCAAGCAGGCUGCACUCCUGCUUGGACGGAAGGUGCAUGGGUGGGGAGGGUAAUCACACCAAUAGAGACAUGGAUGGACUCGUGCAGAACAUAAAUACUCUCUUUGCUUAUGUCUAUGUUACUCAAAGGAACCAUGGAAAUAACAAAUUCCCAAUUACAAUGCAGUAAACUUUAAGAGGAGCAGAG
This is a long non-coding RNA of Homo sapiens (human), 1262 nucleotides long. RefSeq lists it as uncharacterized. The transcript is spliced from 3 exons. The record is from RefSeq and is a predicted model, not a curated record. Lineage: Eukaryota; Metazoa; Chordata; Mammalia; Primates; Hominidae.